AACGAACGCUGGCAGCAUGCCUAACACAUGCAAGUCGAACGAGACCUUCGGGUCUAGUGGCGCACGGGUGCGUAACGCGUGGGAACCUGCCCUUAGGUUCGGAAUAACUCCCCUAAAGGGGUGCUAAUACCGGAUAAUGUCUUCGGACCAAAGAUUUAUCGCCUUUGGAUGGGCCCGCGUUGGAUUAGCUAGUUGGUAGGGUAAAAGCCUACCAAGGCGACGAUCCAUAGCUGGUCUGAGAGGAUGAGCAGCCACACUGGGACGGAGACACGGCCCAGACUCCUACGGGAGGCAGCAGUGGGGAAUAUUGGACAAUGGGCGAAAGCCUGAUCCAGCAAUGCCGCGUGAGUGAUGAAGGCCUUAGGGUUGUAAAGCUCUUUUACCCGGGAUGAUAAUGACAGUACCGGGAGAAUAAGCUCCGGCUAACUCCGUG
RNAcentral lists this ribosomal RNA (433 nucleotides) under uncultured bacterium. Its description in RNAcentral is "partial 16S ribosomal RNA". It matches the Rfam family "Bacterial small subunit ribosomal RNA", at positions 29 to 507 of the family's 1533-position model. The record is from RNAcentral.